This 497-nucleotide ribosomal RNA is filed under the name uncultured bacterium. Its description in RNAcentral is "partial 16S ribosomal RNA". It matches the Rfam family "Bacterial small subunit ribosomal RNA", at positions 28 to 507 of the family's 1533-position model. The record is from RNAcentral.
GACGAACGCUGGCGGCGUGCCUAAUACAUGCAAGUUGAGCGCUGAAGGUUGGUACUUGUACCAACUGGAUGAGCAGCGAACGGGUGAGUAACGCGUGGGGAAUCUGCCUUUGAGCGGGGGACAACAUUUGGAAACGAAUGCUAAUACCGCAUAAAAACUUUAAACACAAGUUUUAAGUUUGAAAGAUGCAAUUGCAUCACUCAAAGAUGAUCCCGCGUUGUAUUAGCUAGUUGGUGAGGUAAAGGCUCACCAAGGCGAUGUUACAUAGCCGACCUGAGAGGGUGAUCGGCCACAUUGGGACUGAGACACGGCCCAAACGCCUACGGGAGGCAGCAGGAGGGAAUCUUCGGCAAUGGGCGAAAGUCUGACCGAGCAACGCCGCGGGAGGGAAGAAGGUUGUCGGAUCGUAAAACUCGGUUGGUAGAGAAGAACGUUGGUGAGAGUGGAAAGCUCAGCAAGUGACGGUAACUACCCAGAAAGGGACGGCUAACUACGUG